This 253-nucleotide ribosomal RNA is filed under the name uncultured bacterium. RNAcentral's name for it is "partial 16S ribosomal RNA". It matches the Rfam family "Bacterial small subunit ribosomal RNA", at positions 524 to 776 of the family's 1533-position model. The record is from RNAcentral.
UACGGAGGGUGCGAGCGUUGUCCGGAAUCACUGGGCGUAAAGGGCGCGUAGGCGGCUCGUUUAGUCGGGUGUGAAAUCCCAAGGCUCAACCUUGGAACUGCAUUCGAUACUGGCGGGCUAGAGACCGGAAGAGGUGGGUGGAAUACCCAGUGUAGAGGUGAAAUUCGUAGAUAUUGGGUGGAACACCGGUGGCGAAGGCGGCUCACUGGUCCGGUUCUGACGCUGAGGCGCGAAAGCGUGGGGAGCAAACAGG